This is an RNA transcript of Felis catus (domestic cat), 1849 nucleotides long. It is a transcript of the gene named DMRT like family C2, with no coding region annotated. The transcript has 10 exons. NCBI's taxonomy places the organism in Eukaryota, Metazoa, Chordata, Mammalia, Carnivora, Felidae. The record is from RefSeq and is a predicted model, not a curated record.
GGGAGAGAAGGGGCCGUGAAUGAGAACGAACGUGGGACUUGGGUGCGGGGAAAGCACAGGCGAGCAGCAUCGAGUACCGUUUGCGUUGACGGAAUAUGUAAGAAGGGAGCGAGAAGAGGGGCGCCUGGCAAGACGAUCCAUGGAAGCCAAGGAAGUGCCUGCUGCCCACCACUGCGCCGCAGACUCUGCCACUGGGGAUGAGCCCAGAGCCCUCCCGGGCACAGAGCUUAUCCCCAGGAGAGCUGUCAGUCGCUCUCCAACCUGCGCCCGCUGCCGAAACCACGGCGUCACUGCGCACCUCAAGGGCCACAAGCGCCUGUGCCUCUUUCAGACUUGCGAGUGUCACAAAUGUGUCCUCAUCUUGGAGCGCCGAAGGGUCAUGGCUGCCCAGGUGGCCUUGCGCAGGCAACAGGAGGCACAGCUAAAGAGGCACCUGGCUCAGGGACUCAUGAGGAGAGGGGCGGCCCCUCCCAAAGCUCCUAGCCGUGCCAAGAAGGGAGCCACUCGACCAGGGGUCCCCUCUGGAAAGGAGAACAUAGCACCCCAGCCUCAGACGCCCCAUGGGGCAGUCCCACUGGCACUGACACCCCCUGGGAAGGAUAACUCCCAGGGGCCUCUGCUGCUCAGCCGUCCCCCAGAAGCCUUGCCUUUGUCCUGGACUCCAAUGCCCCCAGGCCCUUGGGCUCCUGGACACUGGCUUCCUCCAGGCCUUUCCAUGCCACCCCCAGUGGUGUACCGCUUGCUAUACCAAGAACCUACUGUCCCUCUGCAUCCCUUUUCUGACUUUGACCCUGGCACUUCCCUCCGGCUGCCCACUCAUGGACCCCGCCCAACCUGCCCAGGAUCUUGCCCGAUACUGAUGGCUCCUCUUUCCAGAGAAUCCCAAGGGCCCUCUGCCUUGCCCCGCACAUGCUCGACUCUGAUACUCCAGCCCUGUGGCACCCCAGACCCUCUUCUGCUGCAGCCACAGGCGCCUGCAGCCUCUCGCCUGGCCUGGACCUCUGCCCCCUCAGAGCGGCAGCUGCAGCGGGAGGCAGCUGAGGCUCUUGUGGGUCUGAAAGAUUCUUCCCAGGCUCCCCGCCUGACCUCUUCUGUUCCUCCCAACCCUGCCUGGAUCUCCCUGCUCCACCCCUGUGGCCCACCAGGCAUGGGUACGAGUGAGGAAACCUGCAUGGAAGAACUGCUGGAAUGAAGGAGAUGAAGCUGGAGAGACUUCUGAUCAUGGAGGUGUGGCAUGCCAGGCUUAGGCAUCUAGAGCAGCCACUGUGCAUGAAGGGGAGCCAGGCUCCUGCUGGAGGAAGAGGAUUCCAGCCUGUUGGCCCCUCUCUCCGCCCCAGCCCAGCCCCCUCCGUAGCUCUGCAUAUUGGGCAUCUGGGCUCCAUCUCCCUCCUAAGCUAGAAGCCCAGAGGUUGAGAUCUCACUUGAGCAAGGGGCAAGAGCCUGCAGUCACUGCAUAUUUGGUAUUUUGCCUCUGGAUUUAUGCAUGGAAUAUAAUAUAGUGCAAGCUUCCAGCUUUUUUUUUUUUUUUUUAAGCUUUAUUGUGCUUUGUUAGCUUUUGGUUCCUUUUGUAGUGUGGGUAUUUCCUUGACUGAAAGUGGAUAUCCUCUUACCCACUUGGGUCCGGGGACCUUUUUAAAUACCCAACAAAGUGAGAGUUAUGCAAUUUAAGCUAACAAGUAUCUAAAUAGGUUUUUGCAUGAGUUCAUGUUCCAGAAUAUUUGACAUGUGAUUCUGUACGUACUUGUGCACUUAUGUCUGUCUCCAUGCGUGCAAAAACAGGAGGGUAUUUUCAUUUUGUGUCUACGUUUGGGUGAGUAACCGAAAAAUAAACCUUUGUUGUUUUAAGCCA